This 1138-nucleotide ribosomal RNA is filed under the name Bifidobacterium breve. RNAcentral describes it as "bacterial SSU rRNA". It matches the Rfam family "Bacterial small subunit ribosomal RNA", at positions 136 to 1283 of the family's 1533-position model. The record is from RNAcentral. Lineage: Bacteria; Bacillati; Actinomycetota; Actinomycetes; Bifidobacteriales; Bifidobacteriaceae.
CACCGGAAUAGCUCCUGGAAACGGGUGGUAAUGCCGGAUGCUCCAUCACACCGCAUGGUGUGUUGGGAAAGCCUUUGCGGCAUGGGAUGGGGUCGCGUCCUAUCAGCUUGAUGGCGGGGUAACGGCCCACCAUGGCUUCGACGGGUAGCCGGCCUGAGAGGGCGACCGGCCACAUUGGGACUGAGAUACGGCCCAGACUCCUACGGGAGGCAGCAGUGGGGAAUAUUGCACAAUGGGCGCAAGCCUGAUGCAGCGACGCCGCGUGAGGGAUGGAGGCCUUCGGGUUGUAAACCUCUUUUGUUAGGGAGCAAGGCACUUUGUGUUGAGUGUACCUUUCGAAUAAGCACCGGCUAACUACGUGCCAGCAGCCGCGGUAAUACGUAGGGUGCAAGCGUUAUCCGGAAUUAUUGGGCGUAAAGGGCUCGUAGGCGGUUCGUCGCGUCCGGUGUGAAAGUCCAUCGCUUAACGGUGGAUCCGCGCCGGGUACGGGCGGGCUUGAGUGCGGUAGGGGAGACUGGAAUUCCCGGUGUAACGGUGGAAUGUGUAGAUAUCGGGAAGAACACCAAUGGCGAAGGCAGGUCUCUGGGCCGUUACUGACGCUGAGGAGCGAAAGCGUGGGGAGCGAACAGGAUUAGAUACCCUGGUAGUCCACGCCGUAAACGGUGGAUGCUGGAUGUGGGGCCCGUUCCACGGGUUCCGUGUCGGAGCUAACGCGUUAAGCAUCCCGCCUGGGGAGUACGGCCGCAAGGCUAAAACUCAAAGAAAUUGACGGGGGCCCGCACAAGCGGCGGAGCAUGCGGAUUAAUUCGAUGCAACGCGAAGAACCUUACCUGGGCUUGACAUGUUCCCGACGAUCCCAGAGAUGGGGUUUCCCUUCGGGGCGGGUUCACAGGUGGUGCAUGGUCGUCGUCAGCUCGUGUCGUGAGAUGUUGGGUUAAGUCCCGCAACGAGCGCAACCCUCGCCCCGUGUUGCCAGCGGAUUGUGCCGGGAACUCACGGGGGACCGCCGGGGUUAACUCGGAGGAAGGUGGGGAUGACGUCAGAUCAUCAUGCCCCUUACGUCCAGGGCUUCACGCAUGCUACAAUGGCCGGUACAACGGGAUGCGACAGUGCGAGCUGGAGCGGAUCCCUGAAAACC